RNAcentral lists this ribosomal RNA (1440 nucleotides) under uncultured organism. RNAcentral describes it as "16S ribosomal RNA". It matches the Rfam family "Bacterial small subunit ribosomal RNA". The record is from RNAcentral.
AACGCUGGCGGCGUGCUUAACACAUGCAAGUCGAACGGAAAGGCCCUGCUUUUGUGGGGUGCUCGAGUGGCGAACGGGUGAGUAACACGUGAGUAACCUGCCCUUGACUUUGGGAUAACUUCAAGAAACUGGGGCUAAUACCGGAUAGGAGCUCCUGCUGCAUGGUGGGGGUUGGAAAGUUUCGGCGGUUGGGGAUGGACUCGCGGCUUAUCAGCUUGUUGGUGGGGUAGUGGCUUACCAAGGCUUUGACGGGUAGCCGGCCUGAGAGGGUGACCGGCCACAUUGGGACUGAGAUACGGCCCAGACUCCUACGGGAGGCAGCAGUGGGGAAUAUUGCACAAUGGGCGGAAGCCUGAUGCAGCAACGCCGCGUGCGGGAUGACGGCCUUCGGGUUGUAAACCGCUUUCGCCUGUGACGAAGCGUGAGUGACGGUAAUGGGUAAAGAAGCACCGGCUAACUACGUGCCAGCAGCCGCGGUGAUACGUAGGGUGCGAGCGUUGUCCGGAUUUAUUGGGCGUAAAGGACUCGUAGGUGGUUGAUCGCGUCGGAAGUGUAAUCUUGGGGCUUAACCCUGAGCGUGCUUUCGAUACGGGUUGACUUGAGGAAGGUAGGGGAGAAUGGAAUUCCUGGUGGAGCGGUGGAAUGCGCAGAUAUCAGGAGGAACACCAGUGGCGAAGGCGGUUCUCUGGGCCUUUCCUGACGCUGAGGAGCGAAAGCGUGGGGAGCGAACAGGCUUAGAUACCCUGGUAGUCCACGCUGUAAACGGUGGGUACUAGGUGUGGGGUCCAUUCCACGGGUUCCGUGCCGUAGCUAACGCUUUAAGUACCCCGCCUGGGGAGUACGGCCGCAAGGCUAAAACUCAAAGGAAUUGACGGGGCCCCGCACAAGCGGCGGAGCAUGCGGAUUAAUUCGAUGCAACGCGUAGAACCUUACCUGGGUUUGACAUGGAUCGGGAGUGCUCAGAGAUGGGUGUGCCUCUUUUGGGGUCGGUUCACAGGUGGUGCAUGCCUGUCGUCAGCUCGUGUCGUGAGAUGUUGGGUUAAGUCCCGCAACGAGCGCAACCCUUGUUCACUGUUGCCAGCACGUUAUGGUGGGGACUCAGUGGAGACCGCCGGGGUCAACUCGGAGGAAGGUGGGGAUGACGUCAAGUCCUCAUGCCCCUUAUGUCCAGGGCUUCACGCAUGCUACAAUGGCUGGUACAGAGAGUGGCGAGCCUGUGAGGGUGAGCGAAUCUCGGAAAGCCGGUCUCAGUUCGGAUUGGGGUCUGCAACUCGACCUCAUGAAGUCGGAGUCGCUAGUAAUCGCAGAUCAGCAACGCUGCGGUGAAUACGUUCCCGGGGCUUGUACACACCGCCCGUCAAGUCAUGAAAGUUGGUAACACCCGAAGCCGGUGGCCUAACCGUUGUGGGGGAGCCGUCGAAGGUGGGACUGGUGAUUAGG